UAGUUCUCCCAGACCACAGCCCUCAAAUCUUCACUCUCCCGCCAACAACACAGUUACUCAACAUCUUGUAUGUUACAUAGAUUGUAGCGACAUCACUGUCCUCAGAGAGGCCGGAAAGCGCCUGAUGCUACUACGUUUAUUUUAACAACCGUUUACUCCCGUCGGAGAACUUAGAGGUUCGGAAUCUAGCGAAGUUUGUAUAAAAUGGUUUCAAGUGGGAUCAUCUUCUUGGAAAGGUCGCCAGAGAAGGGUGAAGGAUAUGAAGGUUGUAUUUCAUUUCGCCUACGCGGAGAGCUCUUCAUAUAUCUUUUCCUUAAGUGUACAGCUGACCAAUCUUUCUCCUCCUUCGAGCAUCAUUUUCCUCUUUCUUCCUCUGACUCCGAUCUCCCGAGGACCUCUUCUGAUCCGGUUUCCUCUUCCCUUCUCUCCUCCUCUCCUCUUCCUCUUCUCCUCGGCUAAUCUUUAUCACCUCAAUUCCCCCUUUUUCUCCGCCUCUCGUUUCUUUUUCCGUUCUGUUAGACACUAUCUUUCCUCCGUCCCUUACAGAGCUAUCCCCCCCUUGUCGCGGAGCAUUGAUGACAAAAGAAAAAGACACGGGAAACGAAAAAGAUAUUUGCGGGACAUAGAGAGGAUGAAUAAUAGUAACUUUGUUCCCAGAUGAAUGGCGGAUAUAGCUAGAUAAUAAGUUGGUAGAUGGCAGAUGCGUGACAUGAG
RNAcentral lists this small RNA (714 nucleotides) under Cryptococcus neoformans H99. RNAcentral's name for it is "Cryptococcus neoformans var. grubii H99 hypothetical RNA". The record is from RNAcentral. Lineage: Eukaryota; Fungi; Basidiomycota; Tremellomycetes; Tremellales; Cryptococcaceae.